UACAGAGGGUGCGAGCGUUAAUCGGAAUUACUGGGCGUAAAGCGCGCGUAGGUGGCCUUCUAAGUCGAACGUGAAAUCCCUGGGCUCAACCCAGGAACUGCGUCCGAUACUGGAAGGCUUGAAUCCGGGAGAGGGAUGCGGAAUUCCAGGUGUAGCGGUGAAAUGCGUAGAUAUCUGGAGGAACACCGGUGGCGAAGGCGGCAUCCUGGACCGGCAUUGACGCUGAGGCGCGAAAGCUAGGGGAGCAAACGGG
Molecule: ribosomal RNA, 253 nt
Filed under: uncultured bacterium
Lineage: Bacteria
Description: partial 16S ribosomal RNA
Rfam family: Bacterial small subunit ribosomal RNA
Source: RNAcentral